RNAcentral lists this ribosomal RNA (492 nucleotides) under uncultured bacterium. Its description in RNAcentral is "partial 16S ribosomal RNA". It matches the Rfam family "Bacterial small subunit ribosomal RNA", at positions 30 to 507 of the family's 1533-position model. The record is from RNAcentral.
AUUGAACGCUGGCGGCAUGCUUUACACAUGCAAGUCGAACGGUAACAGGCCUUCGGGUGCUGACGAGUGGCGAACGGGUGAGUAAUGCAUCGGAACGUGCCCAGAGGUGGGGGAUAACGCAGCGAAAGCUGUGCUAAUACCGCAUGUGAUCUGAGGAUGAAAGCGGGGGACCAAGCAGCAAUGUUUGGCCUCGCGCCUCUGGAGCGGCCGAUGUCAGAUUAGGUAGUUGGUGGGGUAAAGGCCUACCAAGCCGACGAUCUGUAGCUGGUCUGAGAGGACGACUAGCCACACUGGGACUGAGACACGGCCCAGACUCCUACGGGAGGCAGCAGUGGGGAAUUUUGGACAAUGGGCGCAAGCCUGAUCCAGCAAUGCCGCGUGCGGGAAGAAGGCCUUCGGGUUGUAAACCGCUUUUGUACGGAACGAAAAGGCUCUGGCUAAUACCUGGGGCUGAUGACGGUACCGUAAGAAUAAGCACCGGCUAACUACGUG